AGAGCGAACGCUGGCGGCAGGCCUAACACAUGCAAGUCGAACGGACCCUUCGGGGUUAGUGGCGGACGGGUGAGUAACACGUGGGAACGUGCCUUUAGGUUCGGAAUAGCUCCUGGAAACGGUGGUAAUGCCGAAUGUGCCCUUCGGGGGAAAGAUUUAUCGCCUUUAGAGCGGCCCGCGUCUGAUUAGCUAGUUGGUGAGGUAAAGGCUCACCAAGGCUACGAUCAGUAGCUGGGUCUGAGAGGAUGACCAGCCACAUUGGGACUGAGACACGGCCCAAACUCCUACGGGAGCAGCAGUGGGGAAUCUUGCGCAAUGGGCGAAAGCCUGACGCAGCCAUGCCGCGUGAAUGAUGAAGUCUUAGGAUUGUAAAAUUCUUACAGUUAGGACGAUAAUGACGUACCUACGAGACGGAAGCCCGGACUAACUUCGUAGUCCAGCAGCCGAC
RNAcentral lists this ribosomal RNA (448 nucleotides) under uncultured soil bacterium. RNAcentral describes it as "bacterial SSU rRNA". It matches the Rfam family "Bacterial small subunit ribosomal RNA", at positions 26 to 518 of the family's 1533-position model. The record is from RNAcentral.